GUUCUUCCUGUGGAUAUCGAGGCCGGUAAUUGGUUCAUGCUUACGUUCGGCUUUACUCCAGAGUGUGAGGAUUAUGAACCCGUAGAAAGAGAGAGUGCAACUAGCAUGAAGCAGCCAAAACAAGAAGAUGAAAUCUACUCUGGAUGAGAGUUCUUUUAUGUGGGAGCCAAGCAGGAAAUAACUGCUAGACAGCCAGAAAAAGCCUCCAUUCAACAGGAAAAAAAGCCAACCAGAAAAAAAGACAAAACAGAAAAAUCUUUUGGAAGGAGGGAUUACAG
Molecule: long non-coding RNA, 278 nt
Organism: Prunus dulcis (almond)
Lineage: Eukaryota; Viridiplantae; Streptophyta; Magnoliopsida; Rosales; Rosaceae
Exons: 3
Source: RefSeq, a predicted model, not a curated record